CCUACGGGAGGCAGCAGUGAGGAAUAUUGGUCAAUGGACGAGAGUCUGAACCAGCCAAGUAGCGUGAAGGAUGACUGCCCCAUGGGUUGUAAACUUCUUUUAUAAAGGAAUAAAACGAGGCACGUGCGCCUUUUUGCAUGUACUUUACGAAUAAGGCUCGGCGAACUCCGUGCCAGCAGCCGCGGUAAUACGGAGGGUGCGAGCGUUAAUCGGAAUUACUGGGCGUAAAGCGUCCGUAGGCGGUAUGUCAAGUCAAGGGUGAAAUCCCCGCGCUCAACGUGGGAACUGCCUUUGAUACUGGCAAACUGGAGUGUGUGAGAGGAUAGGGGAAUUCCAGGUGUAGGAGUGAAAUCCGUAGAUAUCUGGAGGAACAUCAGUGGCGAAGGCGACUAUCUGGCACAUAACUGACGCUGAGGAGCGAAAGCGUGGGUAGCAAACGGGAUUAGAUACCCCAGUAGUC
Molecule: ribosomal RNA, 460 nt
Filed under: uncultured bacterium
Lineage: Bacteria
Description: partial 16S ribosomal RNA
Rfam family: Bacterial small subunit ribosomal RNA
Source: RNAcentral